AGCGGCGAACGGGUGAGUAACGCGUGGGUGAUCUGCCUUCGAGUGGGGAACAACACUGGGAAACUGGUGCUAAUACCGCAUGACAUCGUCGGUUCAAUUCGACGAUCAAAGCCGGGGACCGCAAGGCCUGGCGCUUGAAGAGGAGCCCGCGUCCGAUUAGCUAGUAGGCGGGGUAACGGCCCACCUAGGCGACGAUCGGUAGCCGGCCUGAGAGGGCGGACGGCCACACUGGGACUGAGACACGGCCCAGACUCCUACGGGAGGCAGCAGUGGGGAAUUUUUCGCAAUGGGGGAAACCCUGACGAAGCAACGCCGCGUGGAGGAUGAAGGCCUUCGGGUCGUAAACUCCUGUCGACCGGGACGAACGUAGCGGGGGCCAAUACCUCCUGCUAUCGACUGUACCGGUGGAGGAAGCCACGGCUAACUCUGUGCCAGCAGCCGCGGUAAUACAGAGGUGGCAAGCGUUGUUCGGAAUUACUGGGCGUAAAGGGCGCGUAGGCGGCCUCGUAAGUCCUGUGUGAAAUCCCCCGGCUCAACUGGGGAACUGCACAGGAGACUGCUUGGCUUGAGUUCGGGAGAGGGAAGCGGAAUUCCGGGUGUAGCGGCGAAAUGCGUAGAUAUCCGGAGGAACACCGGUGGCGAAGGCGGCUUCCUGGACCGACACUGACGCUGAGGCGCGAAAGCCAGGGGAGCAAACGGG
Molecule: ribosomal RNA, 700 nt
Filed under: uncultured bacterium
Lineage: Bacteria
Description: bacterial SSU rRNA
Rfam family: Bacterial small subunit ribosomal RNA
Source: RNAcentral